RNAcentral lists this ribosomal RNA (380 nucleotides) under uncultured eukaryote. RNAcentral's name for it is "partial 18S ribosomal RNA". It matches the Rfam family "Eukaryotic small subunit ribosomal RNA", at positions 592 to 976 of the family's 1831-position model. The record is from RNAcentral.
CAAUAGCGUAUAUUAAAGUUGUUGCGGUUAAAAAGCUCGUAGUUGGAUUUCUGCUGAGGAUGACCGGUCCGCCCUGUGGGUGUGCAUCUGGCUCAGCCUUGGCAUCUUCCUGAAGAACGUAGCUGCACUUGACUGUGUGGUGCGGUAUUUAGGACAUUUACUUUGAGGAAAUUAGAGUGUUUCAAGCAAGCGCACGCUUUGAAUACAUUAGCAUGGAAUAAUAAGAUAGGACCUUGGUUCUAUUUUGUUGGUUUCUAGAGCUGAGGUAAUGAUUGAUAGGGAUAGUUGGGGGCAUUCGUAUUUAACUGCCAGAGGUGAAAUUCUUGGAUUUGUUAAAGACGGACUACUGCGAAAGCAUUUGCCAAGGAUGUUUUCAUUGA